AUACGUAGGGGGCGAGCGUUGUCCGGAAUGAUUGGGCGUAAAGGGCGCGUAGGCGGCGCGGUAAGUCUGGAGUGAAAGUCCUGCUUUCAAGGUGGGAAUUGCUUUGGAUACUGCCGCGCUUGAGUGCAGGAGAGGUUAUCGGAAUUCCCGGUGUAGCGGUGAAAUGCGUAGAGAUCGGGAGGAACACCAGUGGCGAAGGCGGGUAACUGGACUGCAACUGACGCUGAGGCGCGAAAGUGUGGGGAGCAAACAGGAUUAGAUACCCUGGUAGUCCACGCCCUAAACGAUGAAUACUAGGUGUGGGGGGACUGACCCCUUCCGUGCCGGAGUAAACACAAUAAGUAUUCCACCUGGGGAGUACGACCGCAAGGUUGAAACUCAAAUGAAUUGACGGGG
This 396-nucleotide ribosomal RNA is filed under the name uncultured bacterium. RNAcentral's name for it is "partial 16S ribosomal RNA". It matches the Rfam family "Bacterial small subunit ribosomal RNA", at positions 523 to 918 of the family's 1533-position model. The record is from RNAcentral.